This 497-nucleotide ribosomal RNA is filed under the name uncultured bacterium. RNAcentral's name for it is "partial 16S ribosomal RNA". It matches the Rfam family "Bacterial small subunit ribosomal RNA", at positions 28 to 507 of the family's 1533-position model. The record is from RNAcentral.
GACGAACGCUGGCGGCGUGCCUAAUACAUGCAAGUAGAACGCUGAAGCUUGGUGCUUGCACCGAGCGGAUGAGUUGCGAACGGGUGAGUAACGCGUAGGUAACCUGCCUGGUAGCGGGGGAUAACUAUUGGAAACGAUAGCUAAUACCGCAUAAGAGUAGAUGUUGCAUGACAUUUGCUUAAAAGGUGCAAUUGCAUCACUACCAGAUGGACCUGCGUUGUAUUAGCUAGUUGGUGAGGUAACGGCUCACCAAGGCAACGAUACAUAGCCGACCUGAGAGGGUGAUCGGCCACACUGGGACUGAGACACGGCCCAGACUCCUACGGGAGGCAGCAGUAGGGAAUCUUCGGCAAUGGACGGAAGGCUGACCGAGCAACGCCGCGUGAGUGAAGAAGGGUGUCGGAUCGUAAAGCUCUGUUGUAAGAGAAGAACGAGUGUGAGAGUGGAAAGUUCACACUGUGACGGUAGCUUACCAGAAAGGGACGGCUAACUACGUG